RNAcentral lists this ribosomal RNA (549 nucleotides) under uncultured bacterium. Its description in RNAcentral is "bacterial SSU rRNA". It matches the Rfam family "Bacterial small subunit ribosomal RNA", at positions 356 to 896 of the family's 1533-position model. The record is from RNAcentral.
AGGGAAUCUUCCGCAAUGGACGCAAGUCUGACGGAGCAACGCCGCGUGAAUGAAGAAGGUUUUCGGAUCGUAAAACUCUGUUGUUAGAGAAGAACAAGUGCUAGAGUAACUGUUAGCGCCUUGACGGUAUCUAACCAGAAAGCCACGGCUAACUACGUGCCAGCAGCCGCGGUAAUACGUAGGUGGCAAGCGUUGUCCGGAUUUAUUGGGCGUAAAGCGAGCGCAGGCGGUUCCUUAAGUCUGAUGUGAAAGCCCCCGGCUCAACCGGGGAGGGUCAUUGGAAACUGGGGAACUUGAGUGCAGAAGAGGAGAGUGGAAUUCCAUGUGUAGCGGUGAAAUGCGUAGAUAUAUGGAGGAACACCAGUGGCGAAGGCGACUCUCUGGUCUGUAACUGACGCUGAGGCUCGAAAGCGUGGGUAGCAAACAGGAUUAGAUACCCUGGUAGUCCACGCCGUAAACGAUGAGUGCUAAGUGUUGGAGGGUUUCCGCCCUUCAGUGCUGCAGUUAACGCAUUAAGCACUCCGCCUGGGGAGUACGACCGCAAGGUUG